RNAcentral lists this ribosomal RNA (397 nucleotides) under uncultured bacterium. RNAcentral's name for it is "partial 16S ribosomal RNA". It matches the Rfam family "Bacterial small subunit ribosomal RNA", at positions 523 to 918 of the family's 1533-position model. The record is from RNAcentral.
AUACGUAGGGGGCGAGCGUUGUCCGGAAUGAUUGGGCGUAAAGGGCGCGUAGGCGGCCUGUUAAGUCUGGAGUGAAAGUCCUGUUUUCAAGAUGGGAAUUGCUUUGGAUACUGAUGGGCUUGAGUGCAGGAGAGGUUAUCGGAAUUCCCUGUGUAGCGGUGAAAUGCGUAGAGAUCGGGAGGAACACCAGUGGCGAAGGCGGGUAACUGGACUGCAACUGACGCUGAGGCGCGAAAGGGUGGGGAGCAAACAGGAUUAGAUACCCUGGUAGUCCACACUGUAAACGAUGAAUGCUAGGUGUAAGAGGUAUCGACCCCUUUUGUGCCGGAGUCAACACAAUAAGCAUUCCGCCUGGGGAGUACGGCCGCAAGGUUGAAACUUAAAUGAAUUGGCGGGG